UUAUUGUUAUAAAUCUACAAAGGCUAUUGUUAUAAUUAUUUCUACUGUUUAUAUUUAUAUCAGACUACACAGACCAGUUAUAUCUUUUUCUAGUUAAAAACCACUUUGUUUUUUAUGUCACACUUCCUGAAAAAACUGUUAAAAGAAUUAUAGGGCAAAGUUAAACUGACCUGAAAUCACCCAUUUGUUAUAAUCAAAAUAGAAAAUUAAUGGUCCAAUACUGAUAUAAAUCUGAAGAAUAGUAAUUGUCAAAGAAACUACAAAAUGUCUGCAAAAAUUCUCUUAGUUGUUAGUCUGAAGCAAAAUAACAAUAUCAAUGUAGGUUUCAUCAGACGAUCAUAUUUUAGAUAAAUUUACUAAAAUAAAGUACGACAAUAAAUCUGAAUUUCAUAUUUAAAAAUUGAAAAAACUAUUUUAUUUGAAAUAAAUUGAAAAUUUUAACUUUUGUACCAAACAAUUCGUGAAAUAUUGGAAAUAGCCUGCAAAGUGUUUAGGAAUCGUUCACCAUGAAACAGAGAAAACCAAAGACCGGCAAACAAGUUAAACUAGUAUUGUGUAAUUAUUUUUUACAUAAUGCACACUGGUUAGUUCAGUUUAAUAUUAUAACAUAUUAUUUUAUUUGUAAUAUUUUUAGACAUUUAUAUGAUUUUAAUGAAGAUUAAAUAGAUGAUAUAUUGACAUGUUUAUAGUAAUUGGUAAAAACUCAUAUAUUUUCUACAUAAUAAGAUAUAUUGUGCAUUAAUAUAAAUGUAUAUAUUUAUUUUAAAAUUCUACAUCACAUAAAAAUUUAAAAUUAAGCCAUUAACCUAAUUUGAAGUAGAGAUUUGAAUCUAAUUAGAAAGCAUCUUAGGUUUAAGACAGUGCGUCAUUUCUUAUUCACUUGACCUAUUUUAUAGGUUUAAUCAGUUUUUGAAUUAAUAACAUUAAUAAUCGACAUAUAAUACAUAAAAAUACAGGAGAGAAAGCAAAUUGCUAAACCAAUUUAAAGUCAA
This is a long non-coding RNA of Centruroides sculpturatus (bark scorpion), 992 nucleotides long. RefSeq lists it as uncharacterized. The transcript has 3 exons. The record is from RefSeq and is a predicted model, not a curated record. NCBI's taxonomy places the organism in Eukaryota, Metazoa, Arthropoda, Arachnida, Scorpiones, Buthidae.